This 316-nucleotide ribosomal RNA is filed under the name Plesionika quasigrandis. RNAcentral describes it as "partial 16S ribosomal RNA". It matches the Rfam family "Bacterial large subunit ribosomal RNA", at positions 2048 to 2560 of the family's 2925-position model. Lineage: Eukaryota; Metazoa; Arthropoda; Malacostraca; Decapoda; Pandalidae. The record is from RNAcentral.
GUUUACUUUUAAGUGAAAAGGCUUAAAUGAUCUUGGGGGACGAUAAGACCCUAUAAAACUUUACAGUUUCACUUUUGCUUUUGUGAAUUAAGGUUUAAAAUUAGACAUGAGUGGUCUGUUGUGUUGGGGCGACAAAGAUAAAAAAAGUAACUGUCAGGAAAAAAAAAUAAAAAUAAUUAUAGUAGUUGAUCCUUUUGGUUAGAGAUUAAAAGAUUAAGUUACUUUAGGGAUAACAGCGUAAUUCUCUUUGAGAGUUCUUAUCGACAAGAGUAGUUGCGACCUCGAUGUUGAAUUAAGGGUUCUUUCAGGUGUAGCA